Molecule: ribosomal RNA, 250 nt
Filed under: uncultured bacterium
Lineage: Bacteria
Description: partial 16S ribosomal RNA
Rfam family: Bacterial small subunit ribosomal RNA
Source: RNAcentral
GUAGGGUGCAAGCGUUACUCGGAAUUACUGGGCGUAAAGGGUGCGCAGGCGGGUAUGCAAGACAGGUGGGAAAUCCCCGGGCUCAACCUGGGAACUGCAUUUGGGACUGCAAGGCUUGAGUGCGGCAGAGGAGACUGGAAUUCCCGGUGUAGCAGUGAAAUGCGUAGAUAUCGGGAGGAAUACCGAUGGCGAAGGCAGGUCUCUGGGCUGACACUGACGCUCAUGCACGAAAGCGUGGGGAGCAAACAGG